UAGUGCAAUAGAUCCAAGCCAAAUGUAGAAGACCAUUGACCAACUGCAAAAAAGAUAGCAACAGCACAUUCAAAAACAGUAGCAGCAGCAUACUAUACUGUACCAUGCGGUGUGCAGGAGGACUUUUUUAUUCAGUUGGUGCGGCAAGAUCGAACACCAACAACAUAAUAUCAUGGUAAUCACCCAGCAAGAGAACGCAGUGAUAAUGGGCCAACAGAAAACACAACAUCAAGAUGCUCGGAAAGGACUUUCUCUUUCGAACAAACAUAAUGGCACGUCAUGUUCAAUCGGCUAACCGUUUGGAAUAAGCGCUCAUCAUCGGUUUCAUGGCAGGGAAGCGAGCAGGCAAAAGAAGGCAUCAUUUUUUCCGCAAGGUCACUCUGGUCAAAAUUUCAGCGAAUUGCAAGGAAUAAACCACCCGAGGGACAGUACCCGUGCUGAUUCAGGACGAUUUCCCAUACUUUGUACCUUGCUAUUGAAUUUUAAUACCCGAUCGAAACGAUGGCAAGCGCUACCGAUAACUGGGUCAAAAAGACGACGGAUCAAGAAAUUUCUGCACACGGUUAGCGAACUGAGUACAUAUCACCAAGGAUAAGGAUUCAGAGCCGGCGGCUGGCAGUCCAGAGAAAGAGAAUGCGGAAAAACCUAGUCCACCGGCAGUAGAACCAAAGCUGCACCUGAUGUUUGGAGUUCGGUAGCUACGGAAAUUCUGACUUCUCCUGAAGAAAAACAAGCUGCAAGAGAAAAUGGAGAAACACCUUCCUCCGCGGAAGAUGCAGAGGCAUUCAAGUAAGUCGAAAUCUGCAGAAAAUUUUAAUUAGGACAUAAGGAACAUUGACAGCCUCCCUUUGUUUACUUUCUCUUUCGAUUAUGACGUCACUAUAACACUUUGCACUAAUUUUCCAGUACAUAGCCGAUGGUUUUUACUAAAAUAUUAUGUAAAGAGUUGAGUACUAAAUAUUGAAACGACCAAGUAACAAACAGAGGAGAAAGACCCCAAAGAGAAUCUCAUUGUUGCUUACGUCCUAUUCUAAAUUUUCUCCCGAAAUAUUUAGCAUC
Molecule: long non-coding RNA, 1059 nt
Organism: Topomyia yanbarensis
Lineage: Eukaryota; Metazoa; Arthropoda; Insecta; Diptera; Culicidae
Exons: 4
Source: RefSeq, a predicted model, not a curated record